UGGGGAAUAUUGGACAAUGGGCGAAAGCCUGAUCCAGCCAUGCCGCGUGUGUGAAGAAGGUCUUCGGAUUGUAAAGCACUUUAAGUUGGGAGGAAGGGCAGUAAGCGAAUACCUUGCUGUUUUGACGUUACCGACAGAAUAAGCACCGGCUAACUCUGUGCCAGCAGCCGCGAUAAUACAGAGGGUGCAAGCGUUAAUCGGAAUUACUGGGCGUAAAGCGCGCGUAGGUGGUUCGUUAAGUUGAAUGUGAAAGCCCCGGGCUCAACCUGGGAACUGCAUCCAAAACUGGCGAGCUAGAGUAGGGCAGAGGGUGGUGGAAUUUCCUGUGUAGCGGUGAAAUGCGUAGAUAUAGGAAGGAACACCAGUGGCGAAGGCGACCACCUGGGCUCAUACUAACACUGAGGUGCGAAAGCGUGGGGAGCAAACAGG
RNAcentral lists this ribosomal RNA (429 nucleotides) under Pseudomonadota bacterium. RNAcentral's name for it is "Proteobacteria bacterium partial 16S ribosomal RNA". It matches the Rfam family "Bacterial small subunit ribosomal RNA", at positions 355 to 776 of the family's 1533-position model. The record is from RNAcentral. Lineage: Bacteria; Pseudomonadati; Pseudomonadota.